Molecule: transfer RNA, 60 nt
Filed under: Ruthenibacterium lactatiformans
Lineage: Bacteria; Bacillati; Bacillota; Clostridia; Eubacteriales; Oscillospiraceae
Description: tRNA-Ser
Rfam family: tRNA
About the family: Transfer RNA (tRNA) molecules are approximately 80 nucleotides in length. Their secondary structure includes four short double-helical elements and three loops (D, anti-codon, and T loops). Further hydrogen bonds mediate the characteristic L-shaped molecular structure. tRNAs have two regions of fundamental functional importance: the anti-codon, which is responsible for specific mRNA codon recognition, and the 3' end, to which the tRNAs corresponding amino acid is attached (by aminoacyl-tRNA synthetases). tRNAs cope with the degeneracy of the genetic code in two manners: having more than one tRNA (with a specific anti-codon) for a particular amino acid; and 'wobble' base-pairing, i.e. permitting non-standard base-pairing at the 3rd anti-codon position.
Source: RNAcentral
GGAUAGAGCAACUGCCUUCUAAGCAGUGGGCCAGGGGUUCGAGUCCCUUUGGGCGCACCA